RNAcentral lists this ribosomal RNA (275 nucleotides) under uncultured bacterium. RNAcentral describes it as "partial 16S ribosomal RNA". It matches the Rfam family "Bacterial small subunit ribosomal RNA", at positions 338 to 629 of the family's 1533-position model. The record is from RNAcentral.
CCUACGGGGGGCAGCAGUGAGGAAUAUUGCCCAAUGGACGCAAGUCUGAGGCAGCGACGCCGCGUGGGUGAAGAAGGCCUUCGGGUCGUAAAGCCCUUUUCUGUGUGACGAGCAAGGACGGUAGCACAGGAAAAAGUCUCGGCUAACUACGUGCCAGCAGCCGCGGUAAAACGUAGGAGGCAAGCGUUAUCCGGAGUUACUGGGCGUAAAGCGUGCGUAGGCGGGUCGGUAAGUGGGUGGUGAAAGCGCCGGGCUAAACCGGGCGAGGUCCAUUC